CCCUACCGAGCUUCUCUCUACUCCCGCAGCUUCUUAGUUCCGGAAGUUUUUAAAACCCAAGGACUAGAACUCUCCCCAAAUUCCACCGUCACUCCACUGAUGUCACCUUUCUGUGAUUUCUCUAGACAAAAGUAUUGAGCAAUCAAGAGGCUAAGAGACUUGUCUGAGAUCAACGAAGUGACAGCAAAGUUUCAAGCGGUCUGCUUUAUGUGAAAUGUUUUCCUACUGACACCCCUUCUUGGAUGAGAUAACGUCUCUGGGCCAAUUCAUGUAUUUACACAAUUAAAAACAGCCUUGUUUUGUUUUUGA
Long non-coding RNA from Meriones unguiculatus (Mongolian gerbil), 309 nucleotides. RefSeq lists it as uncharacterized. Lineage: Eukaryota; Metazoa; Chordata; Mammalia; Rodentia; Muridae. The record is from RefSeq and is a predicted model, not a curated record. The transcript is spliced from 2 exons.